UAUUAGCUGUCCUUAUCAGAUAGGGCAGCACUUCUCAGAUCAAAAGCAGUGGCACUCUGGCUAUAAUUAUUUAUUGCUUUGGGAGAGAGAAAUGAAAAGCAAGUGGGUCGGAACACAUUUUGAACCUGGGGAACUGAAAGCUGAAGCAGAGCAAGGAAAGAAUAACAAUAAUAGUGUGUGUGCAGUCAAGUGGAAAUGGGGAUGUAGCGAGUCCCUCUUGGAUCUGAUCUCUUCUUGCUCCUGACAGCAGCAGAGGACAUGACAGAGGAUCUAAAGCGUCUUCAUCCAGCAGGCUGGAAUGGCUGAUGGUUUGGAAACAAGGCUGCUCCUCAUCAGAACCCAUCACUGCACUGGAAACAAGGCAGCUUCGGCUGGGGCUCGCUUUCUCCCGAUCAGGGGUCCGAAUGUGCUCGAGACAUACGGAAGCCUCCUGGGUCUUCCUACACCAGAGGAAUGGCCUGGCCGAGAGCAGUGAGGGUCUUGUGUGAGUUCCUGCCUCCAGCUGCACAUGUUCCUUUUGGGAGGGCAGGUCUUCUCGCUCCUUUGUCUGCAGGAAAAGCUGAGGUGAGCCGUCAGCAAAAUGCAUCCAAGAACUGUAAAUCAGGGUCAUCUGGAAAUAGGAUCGGAACACCAGGGAGGAAGCUGGAUCUCGGAGAAAUGACUGCAUGGCAUGUUUGGGUAGACAGAAUCUCGGACCACCCCCCCAAGAGUCCUGGGCCUGAAUGCCAAGUGUGGAGAGAUGAAUGGACUCCUGUGCCACAAAACACAGUGUGGAAGAAACAGAGAGGGGAAAAGCCAUGUGGACCAGCAGGAGGGGCAUCUCUGAAACAGGCAAAUUCCCAUGGCUGGGACCAGAGAAGGCAUGGGUGAGGCAGCAGAUGCUGUAUGGUGAGAAGUUAUGGGUUGAAUUGUGUCCAUCCUAAAAUCAUAUGCUGAAGGGCUAACCCCACUGCCUCAGAAUGUGGCCUUAUUUAAAAAUAGGAUCACUACAGAUGUAGUUAAUUAAGAUGAGAUCAUACUAGAACAGGGUGAGCUCCCAAUCCAAUGUGACUAGUAUUGUUAUAGAAAGGGGCAAUCUGGAGAUGGAAGCACAGAGGGAGAACACUAUGCAAAGAUAAAGACAGAAAUUGGGGUGAUGUUCCCACAUUUGAAGGAAUGCCAAAGAUUACCAGUAAGCCACUAGAAGUUAGGAGAGAGGCAUGGGACAGAUUCUCCUUCACCGUCUUCUGAAGGAACAACCCUUCCAAGACCUUGAUCUUGGACUUCUGGUCUCCAGAACUAGAAGGGAAUAAAUUUGUGUUGUUUUUGCCACCCAGUUAGUAAUAGUUUGCUAUGGCAUCCCUUAGAAGACAGAUAUACCAAAUGAUACAAGAAUCAGAUGCAUCCUCACUGAAUUUAGUUGUAGACUUAGGGAAAAUGACGCAAAAAUUCCUCAAGUGAUUAGGAAUCCAACCUGAACCAGAACGGAGUUCAAAAAUACAAAUUAAAAAACAUCAAGAGUACAAAUGCAAAUAAAAAUUGGUUUCUAGAAAAAUGAAGAAAACAAUGUUUUCUAGUUAGGGUGUGAAUUGAGAUGUGUGCAUCUCGUGUAAUUAACUUCCUGGGUUGUCACUAGGCUUUAGUUUCUACUGUACCCGUCACUAGCAACUGAUUUUCCUAAAUUUAUAUCUGACUGACCGCAAUGAACAAACUACCUUUAUGCCUUGUAGCAGGUGGGUGGAGAGUUUAUAUAUGAGAAGACAACUCCUGGAUCCAGCAGAAAGUGGGCCUGGAGUGGCGGUAGCCCAUGGGAAACCUGAUAUGCCUCAGGGUGCUUUCCUUCUCAACUGUUCACCUAUUUCUUCUCCAUUUCCAACCUUCUCCCAUGGGAAGAUCCUGCUUCAGACCCUCAUCUAGCCCACUGCCUCAUCUUCCCCAGCCAUCCACCCCCCCUCCCCAGUCUGUCUGUCCUUGAGGCCCUGCAGCAUCUUUUUAUUUCCUACCUGGUGCCUCUCUUGACCCUGCUUGGGUCUCUGGUAUGCUUCUUAUCAUCAACCUUGUGAAAUGGUGAGGUAGAUUAUUGUCUUCCUUCUAUUUUUCUGCAGCUUUCAUGCAGAGAACCUUGCAUAGGCUAGUCUUCAACAAACAGUAGUUAGAGUGAAUUGAACUGUAUUAUCAAAAUUUAUCUUACUAUGACUGAGAGACUAAGGUCAGGGAAGAUAGUGGAGUAGGAAGCACCAGGAAUCCAUCUCUCCACUUAGACAAUUGUAUUGGCAAAAAUCAUCUGAAAUAACUAUUUUGAAAUUCUGGAGUCUGUUAAAAAAUGUGCCACCUCCUGAAAAAAUCUUGGCAGGUAAGGUGUGGUUAAUUUAGAUAAAUUUCAGCCUUUAUUGUGGUAGUGGCUGUCUCCCACACUUCAGCCCCAGGGUAGGUAGUUGUACCUGUAUACCUGGUAUGACUGGCUGGAGCCAGGGAGGACAAUAAGAACCUUAUUCUCCAAAUACUGGGGUUCUCUGUUCUGGUUUUUCAGUGCUGCUUCUGAUUUCUGAGGUAUGGGAAUAGAGGGUGACCACCAUUGUUGCAAUUCCAAUGAGCUGAAGGGACUUCCAGGGACUUUCAAUGAGAAAUACCUUUUUUUUUUUUCCUCCUUUGGGAGCCAGAUAUGUAAGGACUAAGUCAUUUAAAAGCAAUUACACAUUUGAGAAAAUUUAGAGAGCCAUCAGGAUUGUCUGGAAAAGAUGAAGGCUAGAAAAGGCUUGAGAAGACCUUAUGCUUUCACUUUAGGUUGAUCCCCAGCACAGAGAAACCUUUAACAACAAAGAAACAACAAAUCCUGGGAAGGAGGGAAGCUGAUUAUCAGAGAUACAUUAUAAGAUUUGAAUGUCCAGUUUUCAACAACAACAACAACAACAACAAAAUCACAAGGUAUAAAAAGGAAAAGAAAGGUAUGGCCCACUCAAGGUAAUAAACUACACUGGCAGAAACUGUCUGAGAAAACUCAGAUAUUGAGCAUAUUAUGUAAAGACUUAAAACAACUGUCUUAAAAAUGGUCAAAGCACUAAAGUAUAAUAGUGCUUUGAAUAAAUAAAGACAGGAAAAUGAUGUAUGAGAAAAAUGAUAGUAUCAAUAGAGAUAGAAAUUAUGAAAAUGAAAAAUUAUUUCUAGGGUUUAAAAAUAUAAUAAUUGAAAUGAAAAAUUCACCAGGUGAGUUCAAAAGCAAAUUUAAGCAGGCAAAAGAAUGAAUCAGCAAAUUUGAAUAUAGGGCAAAUGAAAUGAUUAAGUCUAGGGGGUGAAAAGAAGAAUGAAGAACAGUGAACAGAGGGGAUGUGUGGUAAAUUACUAAGAGGACCAACAUAUACAUCAUGGGAGUUUCAGAAAACAAAGAGAAAUAGAACAUUUGAAGAAAUAAUGCCUGAAAGCUUCCCAGAUUUGAAGAAAGACAUGAAUCUGCAUAUCCAAGAAGCUUAACAAAGUCCCAGUAGGAUAAAUUCACUAAUACACUUUUCAAUUAAACUGUCAAAAAAUAGAGAAUCUUGAAAGCAGCAAGAGAGUGGUAACACAACACAUAUAAGAGAAUCUUAAUAAAUUAUGAGCCUAUUUCUCAUCAGAAACUUUGAAGGCCAGAAGAUAGCAGAUCAAUACAUUCAAAGUUCUCAAAGAAAAAAAAUCUAUCAACUAAGAAUUCUAUAUCCAGCAAAACUGUCAUUCAAAAAUGAGGGAGAAUGUCAGACAUUUCAGAUAAAUUGAGGAUGUUUUUUGUUUUUACUACCAGACAUGCUCUACAAUAAACACUAAAGAGAGUCCUUCAGGAUUCAAAUGAAAGGAUGCUAGAUAGUGACUUGAAGCCAUAUGAGAAAAUAAAGAUCUCCAAUCAAGGAGAUAUGAUGCUAAGCUUUGUCAGUACAAGGUACUAGAGAGACACAGAGAAAGAACAGACUUUUGUCUCUGGUUAUGGUAUUUAAUUUCUCUCAGCAGAGUCCUGUGGUAGCAUGUGAUGCAUGCCACCUCCCUCUGAGCAGCUUCAUCUCAGAGGGCAGCAUCUAAGCAUGCCAAUGCUUUGGGAAAAUUCUCAUCCUGGUUUCAGAAGCAGUUUCUCCCCUUGGACAGCUUUCCCUAACACCCCAUAGUGUGGCUUUUCAAAGGACUCCACCAGUGUAGCACCUCUGCAAACUUCUCCAUCAUCCAAUGGACCUUAGUUUCAUCCUCUCCAACAAGUCCAAGGAAUUUUGUCGCUGUAUGUGUGUGUGUGUGUGGGGGGGGUACCUUCAUCCAUAUUUGUUCCUUCCUUGUGUGCUCUGUCUCAGACCCAAAGAUAGUGACCACUUCCUAUACCUGCUCUUCCAGUGCUCUUCCUCUGUUCUCUUUAUCUCUUAGCAGCUCCAACCACCAGUUAUAGUUAAUGCUUUUUUACAUUAAAC
Canis lupus familiaris (dog) is the source of this 4397-nucleotide long non-coding RNA. RefSeq lists it as uncharacterized. The transcript has 4 exons. NCBI's taxonomy places the organism in Eukaryota, Metazoa, Chordata, Mammalia, Carnivora, Canidae. The record is from RefSeq and is a predicted model, not a curated record.